Long non-coding RNA from Oxyura jamaicensis (ruddy duck), 772 nucleotides. RefSeq lists it as uncharacterized. The transcript is spliced from 2 exons. NCBI's taxonomy places the organism in Eukaryota, Metazoa, Chordata, Aves, Anseriformes, Anatidae. The record is from RefSeq and is a predicted model, not a curated record.
UAGGAGCAGCAUUUCAACUGCCAAGCACUGGUACUUUUAUUUCUCUGCCAAGAAAUGCCCCUAAUGAGGAGCACAGAAAUUAAAGACAGCUCUGAAGAUCUAAAUAAUAGACUCCCACAGGAAAUCCUGAGGAGUACAUGUCUCUGGCAUGUUUUAUCUUAGAUAGUCCCAUCCUUGCGGUAUUGCGUGCUGAUAGCAGGACAGAAGAGUACCUUUGAAAAUCUCUAGUCUUUAUAGAAGCUGCGGAUGACAACAAGCAGGACCUUCAACACUCUGGGAAGACAAUCCAUCUACUUUCUUUAGUUAUCAUUAAAAUGUCUUUUAGACAUAGGUCAUAACUGGAAACCUAUAAAGGAUGUCUGUGUAUUAGGCACUUCCCACAAAGCCCAGUCCCUUGCGAUUAAAAUUUAUCACAUUGUUCUUCUGGUUACAAAUACUGCUGAUAUGUGUCAUUACUGCAGAGCACUGCUCAUAACAUUUUGACUUUACUCCAAACAUUUUUUUUAAUUCUGAGUUUCCCAUAAAGAACCUACUCCUGAAGUUUUUAAAGGCACCCGUUACUUUCAAGUUUUUAAGCCUGUUUUAAAGGUUGUUAACUAUUUUAUUUUUCUGUUAAAUAUUCACUUACACUGACAAAUAGCUUGAUGGGAAGCCUCAUGUUCCCCUCUGUGUUCCCUAGGAUGUAGCAAAGAGCAUAAAAUCAUAUAGACUUAUCAGUUUAUAUGGCAGUUUGUAAAUACUCCAUCUUCUUAAAAGCUCUGUGUUGACUGAG